Molecule: RNA transcript, 975 nt
Organism: Cebus imitator (Panamanian white-faced capuchin)
Lineage: Eukaryota; Metazoa; Chordata; Mammalia; Primates; Cebidae
Gene name: transcription initiation factor TFIID subunit 9-like
Exons: 1
Source: RefSeq, a predicted model, not a curated record
GAAGUCUGAUUAUCGGAUAUCAUGGAGUCUGGCAAGAUGGCUUCUCCCAAGAGCAUACCGAAAGAUACACAGAUGAUGGCACAAAUCCUGAAGGAUGGGGGGGAUUACAGAACAUGAGCCAGCAGUUAUAAAUCAGUUGUUGGAGUUUGCCUUCUGAUAUGUGGCCACAAUUCUAGAUGAUGCAAAAAUUUCUCAAGCCAUGCUAAGAAAGCUACUGUUGAUGCAGAUGAUGUGCGAUUGGCAAUCUAGUGCUGAACUGACCAGUCUUUUACCUCUCCUCCCUCAAGAGAUUCCUUAUUAGAUAUCGCAAGGCAAAGAAAUCAAACUCCUUUGCCAUUAAUCAAGCCAUAUUCAGGUCCUAGAUUGACACCUGAUAGGUAUUAACAGCUCCAAACUAUAGGCUGAAAUCUUUACAAAAAAAGGCAUCAACUUCUGCAGGAAGAGUAACAGUCCCGCGGUUAGGUGUUGGUUCGGUUACUAGCAAACCAAGUACUCCCACACUAGGCACACCAACCCCACAGACCAUGUCUGUUUCAACUAAAGUAGGGACUCCCAUGUCCCUCACGGGGGCAAAGGUUUACAGUAUAGAUGCCUACACUUCACAGUCUCCAUCUGUAAAAGCUUCAAUUCCUGCAACAUUCAGCAGUUCAGAAUGUUCUGAUUAAUCCAUCAUUACUUGGGUCCAAAAAUGGUGUCAUCAGAAAAUACUGCCAAUGAAUCAUCAAAUGUAUUAAAAAGAAAACAUGAAGAUGAUGACAAUGAUAAUUUGUAAUCCAGCCUUGGUGUAUGUAACGUGUAUAGUUGGUCUUGAAUGCAUUGUACUGAUAUUAAACAUGCAUGCUGGAUGUUUUCAAGUUGUGUUUUAGAAAACUUUAAUAAUAUUUAAUGAGUAAAUACAAUUACCAUACUUUUCAAUUGAAAUUAAGGUUUUUCAUCAGCCUUAAAAGUCUAAGAAAAAUAAAGUUGUCGUUCAUU